CAGCAGUCGCCGCGGGAAUACGUAGGUGGCAAGCGUUGUCCGGAAUUAUUGGGCGUAAAGCGCACGCAGGCGGUUGCCCAAGUCAGAUGUGAAAGCCCCGGGCUUAACCUGGGAACUGCAUUUGAAACUGGGCGACUAGAGUAUGAAAGAGGAAAGCGGAAUUUCCAGUGUAGCAGUGAAAUGCGUAGAUAUUGGAAGGAACACCGAUGGCGAAGGCAGCCCCCUGGGAUAACACUGACGCUCAUGCACGAAAGCGUGGGGAGCAAACAGGAUUAGAUACCCCCGUAGUCCCUGUCUCUUAUAC
Molecule: ribosomal RNA, 304 nt
Filed under: uncultured bacterium
Lineage: Bacteria
Description: partial 16S ribosomal RNA
Rfam family: Bacterial small subunit ribosomal RNA
Source: RNAcentral